This is a long non-coding RNA of Culex quinquefasciatus (southern house mosquito), 458 nucleotides long. RefSeq lists it as uncharacterized. The record is from RefSeq and is a predicted model, not a curated record. NCBI's taxonomy places the organism in Eukaryota, Metazoa, Arthropoda, Insecta, Diptera, Culicidae. The transcript is spliced from 2 exons.
CUUUUAUACACCCAUAACAUUAUUUUUUUUCAAUCUAUGAUAACUGUUGCGACGGAGCGCGUCCGAAGCAGCCCCCUGUUCAACGUCAUUCGUCUUUGUUUGUGUUGCUUUGUCAGGUGCCCGUGCUGUCGCUUGGCAAGAAUCAGAAGUUGAAAACAAACUGAAGCAAGCGGGAGCACGGGCGCAGCUGGGAACGAGAAUCCGUUCCAGCUGUGAAAAGACACCGAAGUUCUUUUUAGCGUACGUAAAAUGGAAGGAAGUUUCAUUUUGUUCAGCUUAGAAAUCUGGUGCCCGACCACGUGCCCGACACUCUUUAGCCGCUCGUUUCAACAAUAACGAAGGAUUUUUUAGUUAGAAUCACGUUAUUUUAAAUGUUACUAAACUAAAAAGCAACUUGUGGGCAUUCAGUGAUGACUUAACAUAAAGAAAAUUAAAUAAAUUGCUAGCGAGUUUCGAAA